Molecule: ribosomal RNA, 966 nt
Filed under: uncultured bacterium
Lineage: Bacteria
Description: bacterial SSU rRNA
Rfam family: Bacterial small subunit ribosomal RNA
Source: RNAcentral
CACAUGCAAGUCGAACGAAGUAGCAAUACUUAGUGGCAGACGGGUGAGUAACAUGUGGGUAUCUACCCUUUGGCCUGGAAUAACACGAGGAAACUUGUGCUAAUACCGGAUAAGUCUUUACGGAGAAAGCUUUAUGCACCAUUGGAUGAGCCCGCACUAGAUUAGUUUGUUGGUGGGGUAAUGGCCUACCAAGACUGUGAUCUAUAGCUGAUUUGAGAGGAUGAUCAGCCACAUUGGGACUGAGACACGGCCCAAACUCCUACGGGAGGCAGCAGUGGGGAAUCUUGCACAAUGGAGGAAACUCUGAUGCAGCGAUGCCGCGUGAGUGAAGAAGGCCUUUGGGUUGUAAAGCUCUUUCGUCGGGGAAGAAAAUGACUGUACCCGAAUAAGAAGGUCCGGCUAACUUCGUGCCAGCAGCCGCGGUAAUACGAAGGGACCUAGCGUAGUUCGGAAUUACUGGGCUUAAAGAGUUCGUAGGUGGUUAAAAUAGUUGGUGGUGAAAUCCCAGAGCUUAACUCUGGAACUGCCAUCAAAACUUUUUAGCUAGAGUAUGAUAGAGGAAAGUAGAAUUUCUAGUGUAGAGGUGAAAUUCGUAGAUAUUAGAAAGAAUACCGAUUGCGAAGGCAGCUUUCUGGAUCAUUACUGACACUGAGGAACGAAAGCAUGGGUAGCGAAGAGGAUUAGAUACCCUCGUAGUCCAUGCCGUAAACGAUGUGUGUUAGACGUUGGAAAUUUAUUUUCAGUGUCGCAGCGAAAGCAAUAAACACACCGCCUGGGGAGUACGACCGCAAGGUUAAAACUCAAAUGAAUUGACGGGGACCCGCACAAGUAGUGGAGCAUGUGGUUUAAUUCGAAGAUACGCGCAGAACCUUACCAACACUUGACAUGUUCGUCGCGACUCUAAGAGAUUAGAGUUUUCGGUUCGGCCGGACGAAACACAGGUGCUGCAUGGCUGUCGUCAGCUCG